GGCGUUUGCACUUUUGUCAAUAUGAUUUGCCUUACUAAUAUGUAAAAUUCGAAACCAGUCAACAGAGAUGAGUGUACAUGUACUGCUGAUGUGAGAUAAUCAGCUGCAAAAUUAGAAAGAGAAAGCUAUAGAAACAGAGGCAUUUGUCGUUAGCUAAGAGAAUUUAACAAGAAAAAAGAUGGUUAAAGAUAAGAGAAGUGAAAGUGAGAAACAUGUGUGUCAACCUCGUGACAGGAGACACAACUUUGGUUAUGGACAGAAUCAGUCCAGUGUUCAUGGCAACUUCCCUCAUUCAGCUCCCAAUCCAUCGUGGGCACCUGCGUCUCAAAACCAACCUGAACUUUACCGGCACACACAAGCCUGGGGCUCGGUAUUUAGGGAUAGAGCUCAUUUUGUAGAAAUGCAUUUAGUUUAGUAAAACUUUUCACUAUUGAUAUAUUGAAUACCUAAGAAUGUAAUUGUGAUGAAAUUUUGUGAAUUAUUUUGAAUGAGGAUUCAUGUCAUUUAUAUACAUUUGUAUAUGAAUGAUUUUUGUACUGUUUUUUGUAUGAUUAUCAGGUGAUAGUGAAAUUGUG
Ruditapes philippinarum (Manila clam) is the source of this 575-nucleotide long non-coding RNA. RefSeq lists it as uncharacterized. The transcript has 3 exons. The record is from RefSeq and is a predicted model, not a curated record. NCBI's taxonomy places the organism in Eukaryota, Metazoa, Mollusca, Bivalvia, Venerida, Veneridae.